RNAcentral lists this ribosomal RNA (217 nucleotides) under Clostridioides difficile. RNAcentral's name for it is "partial 23S ribosomal RNA". It matches the Rfam family "Bacterial large subunit ribosomal RNA", at positions 2628 to 2847 of the family's 2925-position model. The record is from RNAcentral. Lineage: Bacteria; Bacillati; Bacillota; Clostridia; Peptostreptococcales; Peptostreptococcaceae.
AGUUCGGUCCCUAUCCGUCGCAGGCGUAGGAAAUUUGAGAAGACCUGUCCUUAGUACGAGAGGACCGGGAUGGACGUACCUCUGGUGUACCAGUUGUCCUGCCAAGGGCAUGGCUGGGUAGCUAUGUGCGGAAUGGAUAAGCGCUGAAAGCAUCUAAGCGCGAAGCCAACUUCAAGAUAAGAUUUCCCACCGCAAGGGUAAGACCCCAGAAAGACUA